UACGGGGGGAGCAAGCGUUGUUCGGAUUUACUGGGCGUAAAGGGCGCGUAGGCGGUCAGCACAAGUCAGUUGUGAAAUCUCCGGGCUUAACCCGGAAAGGUCAACUGAUACUGUGCGACUAGAGUGCGGAAGGGGCAACUGGAAUUCUCGGUGUAGCGGUGAAAUGCGUAGAUAUCGAGAGGAACACCUGCGGCGAAGGCGGGUUGCUGGGCCGACACUGACGCUGAUGUGCGAAAGCCAGGGGAGCGAACGGG
This 254-nucleotide ribosomal RNA is filed under the name uncultured bacterium. Its description in RNAcentral is "partial 16S ribosomal RNA". It matches the Rfam family "Bacterial small subunit ribosomal RNA", at positions 524 to 776 of the family's 1533-position model. The record is from RNAcentral.